GGGCGUGGACAAACGGUAAGGUGUUAUUUUUUGCUCCCGUUUUGCUCCUGUUAUUGCGAAGGUUCGAAUCCUUCCG
This 76-nucleotide transfer RNA is filed under the name Torreya jackii. Its description in RNAcentral is "tRNA-Gln". Lineage: Eukaryota; Viridiplantae; Streptophyta; Pinopsida; Cupressales; Taxaceae. The record is from RNAcentral. RNAcentral also lists the same sequence under 2 other names.